AAAGCGUGCGCAGGCGGUUGUACAACACCGAUGUGAAAUCCCCGUGCUUCAACCGAGGAAUUGCAUUGGUGACUGCACGGGAGAGUGUGUCAGAGGGAGGUAGAAUUCCACGUGUAGCAGAUAAAUGGGUAGAGAUGUGGAGGAAUACCGAUGGCGAAGGCAUCCUCCUGGGAUAACACUGACGCUCAUGCAGGAAAGCGGGGGGAGCAAACAGGAUUUGCUACCCUUGUACUCCACGCCCUAAAUGAUGUCAACUAGUUGUUUGGGAUUCAUUUCAGUAUUAACGUAAAUAACGCGUGAAGUUGACCGCGGGGGGAGGACGGUAGCAAGAUUAAAACUCAAAGGAAUCGACGGGGACCCGCACCAGCGGUGGAUGAUGUGGAUUACUUGGAUACCACGAGAAAAACCUUACCUACCCUUGACAUGCCACUAACGAAGCAGAGAUGCCUUAGGUGCUCGAAAGAGAAAGUGGACACAGUUGCUGCAUGGCGGUCGUCAGCUCGUGUAGUGAGAUGUUGGGUUAAGUCCCGCAACGAGCGCAACCCCAGUCCCUAGUUGUUACGAAAGGGCACUCUAGAGAGACGGCCGGUGACAAACCGGAGGAAGGUGGGGAUGACGUCAAGUCCUCAUGGCCCUUAUGGGUAGGGCUUCACACGUCAUACAAUGGUGCAUACAGAGGGUUGCCAAGCCGCGAGGGGGAGUUAAUCCCAGAAAGUCCAUCGUAGUCCGGAUGGUAGUAUGCAACUCGACUACGUGAAGUGGGAAUCGUUAGUAAUCGUGGAUCAGCAUGCCGCGGUGAAUACGUUCCCGGGUCUUGUACACACCGCCCGUCACACCAUGGGAGUGGGCUUCACCAGAAGUAGUUAGCAUAACCGCAAGGAGGGCGAUUACCACG
This 895-nucleotide ribosomal RNA is filed under the name Ralstonia solanacearum. Its description in RNAcentral is "bacterial SSU rRNA". It matches the Rfam family "Bacterial small subunit ribosomal RNA", at positions 562 to 1461 of the family's 1533-position model. The record is from RNAcentral. Lineage: Bacteria; Pseudomonadati; Pseudomonadota; Betaproteobacteria; Burkholderiales; Burkholderiaceae.